CAACUUUGGCAUUGUGGAAGGAC
Molecule: non-coding RNA, 23 nt
Filed under: Cricetulus griseus (Chinese hamster)
Lineage: Eukaryota; Metazoa; Chordata; Mammalia; Rodentia; Cricetidae
Source: RNAcentral